RNAcentral lists this transfer RNA (72 nucleotides) under Candidatus Woesearchaeota archaeon. RNAcentral describes it as "tRNA-Val". It matches the Rfam family "tRNA". From Rfam's summary of the family: Transfer RNA (tRNA) molecules are approximately 80 nucleotides in length. Lineage: Archaea; Nanobdellati; Candidatus Woesearchaeota. The record is from RNAcentral.
GGGCCCGUGGUCUAGUGGCAUGACGCAUCCUUGACUUGGAUGAGGUCGCCAGUUCGAAUCUGGUCGGGCCCA